CGCUCCUUGAAAAGUAAAAAUACUUACGUAUAAGGAGUCCUGCCUGCCCGGUGACGUAGUUAAACGGCCGCGGUAUUUUGACCGUGCGAAGGUAGCAUAAUCAUUUGCCCUUUAAAUGGGGGCUGGUAUGAAUGGCAAGACGGAAAUUAAGCUGUCUCUCUCUUGUGCCUCGAAUUUAAUUUUCUUGUGAAGAAGCAGGAAUACAGCCACGGGACGAGAAGACCCUAUCGAGCUUUAGCUGUUCCCGCAUAAACAUGUGAAUUAAGACAGGUUAUUCCAUUGCUAAUUAACUCGUACUUGUAGCGUGUUAGCGAUUUACUGUGGGGUGGUCGGUGUUAUAUGUGGGCCGUUUAGGUUGGGGCAACUGCGGGGAACAGACAUCCCCCGUUAAGUUAACUGUGAAAAAUCAUGGUUUUCUGGUGCAAGUUUUGUUUGAAUUGAUCCGCCUUUUAGGCGAGCAAAAGAACAAGUUACCGUAGGGAUAACAGCGUAAUCUCCUUAGAGAGUUCAUAUUGAUGAGGGGGUUUGCGACCUCGAUGUUGGAUCGGGAUUUCCUGGGGGUGCAGCAGCUCCCAAAGGUUGGUCUGUUCGACCAUUAAAAUCCU
This 605-nucleotide ribosomal RNA is filed under the name Asteropsis carinifera. RNAcentral describes it as "partial 16S ribosomal RNA". It matches the Rfam family "Bacterial large subunit ribosomal RNA", at positions 1816 to 2597 of the family's 2925-position model. Lineage: Eukaryota; Metazoa; Echinodermata; Asteroidea; Valvatida; Asteropseidae. The record is from RNAcentral.